GGUCGGGUCAAUUUUUUAAGUUGAGUUAUGUUAAAUUAUUGUAUCCACACGAGUCGAAAUUUAAAUCGGAUAUUUUUUGAAUCGAUUUUAAAUCGGGCUGGGUCGGAUGUGGUUUUGACACCUCUAAUUUAUGGAUGUGAAUGCUUACUAAUCGUUGGGAACUUUUAGCCUAAACUUGCUGGUAGUUAAAAUAAGGUGGUACUUAUACAUCAUUAAAAUCCUACAAUGAUUUUGACAUGAAUGUGAGACACGAAACCUUAAGUGGCAUCCAAACAACAAAAGAAGCCAAGUUAGCUAACGCAAUGUAGUAGGUAAGUCAAGCAUUUGGAGAGUUCCCUUGUCUUUGUGAUUGAUAUUCAAGGGAAAAAAAAAAAAUUACUUUGAAUAAAUCUAAUUUGCUUUGAUAUGAUUGUGCAUAUCACUUAUUGAUCGACUAAUUACAUGCAUCGUAUUUUAUGGAAUAUAACUUAAAAAAAAAAAACACUUCCUUUGUCCCUAAAUAUAGCUCUCAUUUGACUUUUGGUCUCUAAAAUGUGUCUUAAAAGGUCUAUAUCUCUAUUUUUAUACAUGUAAAAAUUAUAAAAAGUUGAUUUUAAUAAAAUAUACAACACUAGUAGAAAAAAAACAAAUGGGCACCAAGGAAUUCACACCGGUUCUUAAAAACCGGCGGACAAAAAUGUGUUGGCACCGGUUAACCGAUGCCGUUGUUCUAGAAAAUGAAAACCAAAAAAAAUAAGAAAAGGCACCGGUUAACCGGUGCCAAAAACCCUUAUAUUCUCUAUAUACUCCCUCAGCCCCUCUCUCUCUCUCAUAAUCCGCUUCUCUCUCAUCUGUUCUCUCAUCUUCUUCUUCCUCAUCUGUUCUCUCUUCCUCAUUUUCGAAAUCUUAGUCGACGUUUCGAAACCAUCGCCGCCACCGUUCAUGCAACCAUCAGCCUCCGCCGUUCAUGCAAUCACCAGCCGCCGUUCUUCUCUCCGUUAAUUAUUAGAAAAUCAAAAAGUUGAGGUUAGGGUUUCUGGUUUCUUUAGUUUUGCGUUUUGGUUCAAUUAUUUAUGUUAAAUUGCCUUGAUUAUGAGUUUUUUCCGUUAAUUGUUCAUGUUCUCUCCGUCAAUUAUUAGAAAAUCAGAAUUAUUUGGGUUUUUUUUGUUCAAAGUUUCUGGGUUUUUUGGGUUCUGGGUUCGACAUUUUUAGGUUUUUUUGGGUUUUUCUGGGUUCAAAAUUUCUGGGUUUUGUGGGUUUCUUUUUUUUGAGUUUUUAUGGUUAAACCCCUCAACCUUCACUCCCAACAACUCUCUUCUUCUACUCUCACAUUUUUCCUCUGUUUUCCUUUUUUCUUGAUUUUUUCUACUUCAAUCAGCAUUAAAUUAAGACCCCAGAUAAUUUUUUCAACAAUUAAGGCCAAAAAAUCAAAAGGGUCAAUUUUAUUUUGGGUUUUUCUUUGUGGGUUUUUUUUUAUUGAUUGAUUGAAAAUGGGGGACGAAGAAACCCUAGGAUUUGGGGAUUCAGGAAAAUUGAAGGGUGAAAUUGAUACUUCAGCGCCAUUUGAGUCUGUUAAAGAAGCUGUCACUAAGUUUGGUGGGCUUGGAUUUUGGAAGCCUGUUUCUAUUUACAUAAAUCCACUCAUUCUUUUCUGGUAGUAUUAUUAUUUCAAAAAAAAAUUACAAGGAUUCCACAUAGAAGAAGCUACGGAUUCAAGAUUCGGAUUAACAUGUUUUGUUGUUCAUUGUUGCGUUUUUUUUUUUAAAUUGUAAAAUAACAAUUUAUUUGAUGAAUAUGUGUGUGUGUGUUUAGUGUA
Molecule: long non-coding RNA, 1795 nt
Organism: Chenopodium quinoa (quinoa)
Lineage: Eukaryota; Viridiplantae; Streptophyta; Magnoliopsida; Caryophyllales; Amaranthaceae
Exons: 2
Source: RefSeq, a predicted model, not a curated record